GGGCCCGUGGUGUAGUGGUUAUCACGCUCGUCUCACACACGAGCGGUCGCCGGUUCGAUCCCGGCCGGACUCA
Molecule: non-coding RNA, 73 nt
Organism: Phanerochaete sordida
Lineage: Eukaryota; Fungi; Basidiomycota; Agaricomycetes; Polyporales; Phanerochaetaceae
Source: the annotation of a GenBank genome assembly